Molecule: small nuclear RNA, 108 nt
Filed under: Nannospalax galili (Upper Galilee mountains blind mole rat)
Lineage: Eukaryota; Metazoa; Chordata; Mammalia; Rodentia; Spalacidae
Description: U1 spliceosomal RNA (ENSNGAG00000003419.1)
Rfam family: U1 spliceosomal RNA
About the family: U1 is a small nuclear RNA (snRNA) component of the spliceosome (involved in pre-mRNA splicing). Its 5' end forms complementary base pairs with the 5' splice junction, thus defining the 5' donor site of an intron.
Source: RNAcentral
CAGGGGAGAUACUGUGAUCACAAAGGUGGUUUUCCCAGGGUGAGGCUUAUCCUUUGUACGCCAGCAGUGCUGACCCCUGCGAUUUCCCAAAUACGGGAAACUCGACUG